Molecule: long non-coding RNA, 350 nt
Organism: Aphis gossypii (cotton aphid)
Lineage: Eukaryota; Metazoa; Arthropoda; Insecta; Hemiptera; Aphididae
Exons: 4
Source: RefSeq, a predicted model, not a curated record
AGGAAAACCAAUUCGAACAGCAUCGUCUGGAUGGUUUAAAGAAACUAAAAUCAAAUGCAAUUCCAACUCUUUGAUGUGCCCAAUCCCCCUCGCAUGUUGGAGACCAAAAUAAAAUCCUUGUAUAAGACUAUAGGAAAUUUGAGUAAUGAUAAUCUUAAGAAAAAUGUAUCUUCGACUGAAAAACGAUUAUCACAGGCUACAUCAAUAGAAAGCAAUGUUACCAUCAGUGAGAAUUACUCUGAACCUGUUAGCUGCCUGGAGAGGAAUGUUUGUCACUAGAUCCAAUAGAAGAACUUGAAAAAAUUAGAGCUGAAAUGAAUCGCAUAAAAGAUGAGAAUGACCACAUGAAA